This 480-nucleotide ribosomal RNA is filed under the name uncultured bacterium. RNAcentral describes it as "partial 16S ribosomal RNA". It matches the Rfam family "Bacterial small subunit ribosomal RNA", at positions 28 to 523 of the family's 1533-position model. The record is from RNAcentral.
GACGAACGCUGGCGGCGUGCCUAACACAUGCAAGUCGAGCGAAUGAAGUUCCUUCGGGAAUGGACUUAGCGGCGGACGGGUGAGUAACACGUGAGCAACCUGCCUCAUAGAGGGGAAUAGCCUUCCGAAAGGGAGAUUAAUACCGCAUAAGAUUGUAGUACCGCAUGAUACAGCAAUUAAAGGAGCAAUCCGCUAUGAGAUGGGCCCGCGGCGCAUUAGCUAGUUGGUGAGGUAACGGCUCACCAAGGCGACGAUGCGUAGCCGACCUGAGAGGGUGAUCGGCCACAUUGGGACGGGGACACGGCCCAGACUCCUACGGGAGGCAGCAGUGGGGAAUAUUGCACAAUGGGGGAAACCCUGAUGCAGCAACGCCGCGUGAGUGAUGACGGCCUUCGGGUUGUAAAGCUCUGUCUUCAGGGACGAUAAUGACGGUACCUGAGGAGGAAGCCACGGCUAACUACGUGCCAGCAGCCGCCGCAG